UACCACCCUGAACGCGCCGAUCUCGUC
RNAcentral lists this non-coding RNA (27 nucleotides) under Mus musculus (house mouse). Lineage: Eukaryota; Metazoa; Chordata; Mammalia; Rodentia; Muridae. The record is from RNAcentral.